AUUGAACGCUGGCGGCAUGCUGUACACAUGCAAGUCGAACGGCAGCGCGGGCUUCGGCCUGGCGGCGAGUGGCGAACGGGUGAGUAAUGCAUCGGAACGUGCCCAGUAGUGGGGGAUAGCCCGGCGAAAGCCGGAUUAAUACCGCAUACGACCUGAGGGUGAAAGCGGGGGACCGAAAGGCCUCGCGCUAUUGGAGCGGCCGAUGUCGGAUUAGCUAGUUGGUGGGGUAAAGGCUUACCAAGGCGACGAUCCGUAGCUGGUCUGAGAGGACGACCAGCCACACUGGGACUGAGACACGGCCCAGACUCCUACGGGAGGCAGCAGUGGGGAAUUUUGGACAAUGGGGGCAACCCUGAUCCAGCCAUGCCGCGUGCGGGAAGAAGGCCUUCGGGUUGUAAACCGCUUUUGUUCGGGAAGAAAUCCUCUGGGCUAAUACCCCGGGGGGAUGACGGUACCGGAAGAAUAAGCACCGGCUAACUACGUG
This 484-nucleotide ribosomal RNA is filed under the name uncultured bacterium. RNAcentral describes it as "partial 16S ribosomal RNA". It matches the Rfam family "Bacterial small subunit ribosomal RNA", at positions 28 to 507 of the family's 1533-position model. The record is from RNAcentral.